Molecule: unclassified non-coding RNA, 671 nt
Filed under: Hevea brasiliensis (rubber tree)
Lineage: Eukaryota; Viridiplantae; Streptophyta; Magnoliopsida; Malpighiales; Euphorbiaceae
Source: RNAcentral
GAGUUGCAAAUGAAGAAGCUUACUCAUAUUUGAAUGGAUCUACGGUUUGAAUGGGAGGAGGUCAGAGCAUUUGUGAGACAACCAGAUGGCUCUUUGUUUAUCUUGUGUAAACUUUUUGAGUGCUACCAUCAUUUAUUAUAUGGGAUUGUAAGAUCUUUUUAUCAAUUUGUUACUUCUUUUUUGCUACUCUCUCUUUCUCUUUCAAACACACGCAAGCGUUUAGAUUAUCUGCUGCAAUCAAUAAAUUUAAAAAUCAAAAUUUGUUUCCUUGAGGGGAUGCCCCAUUUCACAUUUGGAAAAUUCAAAUUCCAUUAGAUAGGGGUGAGAGGAGCUCAAGAAUAAAUGUAUAAAGUGUUGUCUGGGUGACAUAAUGCUCAACAUCACAAACUGGUCUGAGCCCCCUCUCUUCAGAGGGGGGCAAAUAGUUCCUGUGACAUAUGCUUAGAUAGUUUAAUGUUGCCAUACCUUUGAUUAUGUCUAGAGUAAUUUGAUGAACUGAUACUCUGUUUCUUUAUUUAUAAUAUGACACAAAAAUCCAAGUUUUUCUGGCUUUGCAAGGCUGUUUGCAAGUUUUUCUGGUGUUCAAAAUGAAUUUACAGGUAAACAAGAGCAAGGUAGAUGCAAUGUUAAAAUGGGACAGCAAGGAGUAUCUCUGGGAAGUUGGGGAAUCU